This 65-nucleotide microRNA precursor is filed under the name Eisenia fetida (common brandling worm). RNAcentral describes it as "Efe-Mir-34_pre stem-loop". The record is from RNAcentral. Lineage: Eukaryota; Metazoa; Annelida; Clitellata; Crassiclitellata; Lumbricidae.
UGGCAGUGUAGUUAGCUGGUUGUCUUCCGCCGUAUUAAUUUACAACCACUUACUCCUCUGCCUUA